RNAcentral lists this ribosomal RNA (476 nucleotides) under uncultured bacterium. RNAcentral's name for it is "bacterial SSU rRNA". It matches the Rfam family "Bacterial small subunit ribosomal RNA", at positions 365 to 832 of the family's 1533-position model. The record is from RNAcentral.
UUCGCAAUGCCCGAAAGGGUGACGAAGCGACGCCGCGUGGGUGAGGAAGGCCCUCGGGUUGUAAAGCCCUGUCAGGAGUUAAGAAAUGUAAGUGCGCUAAUAUCGCAUUUAUUUGACGAAGGCUCCAAAGGAAGCCACGGCUAACUCUGUGCCAGCAGCCGCGGUAAUACAGAGGUGGCAAGCGUUGUUCGGAAUUAUUGGGCGUAAAGAGCACGUAGGUGGGUUUGAAAGUCAGAUGUGAAAGCCUUCUGUUCAACGGAAGAAUUGCAUCUGAAACUGCAAGUCUUGAGUGUAGGAGGGGAGAAUGGAACUUCUGGUGGAGCGGUGAAAUGCGUAGAUAUCAGAAGGAACGCCGGCGGCGAAAGCGGCUCUCUGGCCUGUAACUGACGCUGAGGCGCGAAAGCUAGGGGAGCGAACGGGAUUAGAUACCCCGGUAGUCCUAGCCCUAAACGAUGGGCACUAAGUAGAGGGGUUUU